UUACAAGGUCUGCCAUGCUACGGUGGCAUCAUGAGAAAUAUUCUUCAGAGAUACCCAUUACUAACACAAUCGCGCACAUAAUAGUCCUUGGCUGAUUGAUUUGGCUGAUUGCAAACACAAGCACACAAAACACAAAAAUUCAGUUGAUGGUCACACGUAUGCAUCGUUCUCAUAUCAAUUCUUUACUGUAUUCCAAUUGAGGUGCAGUUCGUGGCACCUAUUCACCCUGUCCGCUCGGCCGUCGCGGUGAUUGCCUGCUCGCCAUUGGUGCCGACCGCUCACCACUGGCAGUCUCCGCCGGCUCCCUGUCACCUCUUGCGCGGUCGCACCACUCCGCGUGUUCCCUGGUCGCCGCUCGCCCAUCUCGCUCACUGCCCAAUGUUGUUGGUUAGAAUGCAGGCCUGCAGGUAAUCCAUGGACAGGUUGUAGUUCUGCUUGGGAUCAGUCUUUGGUAGGAGUCAAUCCAUCUAGCACACAAAACAUAUCCACUCUCAGAUAGAAAAGUUACAUAAACUCAUUUACGAAAUACCCUGCUCUAAACUAACUCAUGUGAAAAAAAUGAAUCUAGUAAAAGUGCAAAUUAGCAGCAGUAAAAAUUGUAAGAAGCCCAGUGACAGAGCUUGAGCAUAAUCCAAGAUGGGGCCAUCAGCUGAAGGUAGGCAAAUUAACAGGAGAGGAGGGGCUAAUCUCUAGUUUAAACACUAGCUAGUUGGGCCUAAAAUAGAGCAUAUUCUGCAAUGGUUGUAAAAGUUAAUNNNNNNNNNNNNNNNNNNNNNNNNNNNNNNNNNNNNNNNNNNNNNNNNNNNNNNNNNNNNNNNNNNNNNNNNNNNNNNNNNNNNNNNNNNNNNNNNNNNNNNNNNNNNNNNNNNNNNNNNNNNNNNNNNNNNNNNNNNNNNNNNNNNNNNNNNNNNNNNNNNNNNNNNNNNNNNNNNNNNNNNNNNNNNNNNNNNNNNNNNNNNNNNNNNNNNNNNNNNNNNNNNNNNNNNNNNNNNNNNNNNNNNNNNNNNNNNNCCCUCAGCUCAAACUAUAAUAUAGCUAAAAAACUAAUUAAUUUAACAAUUGUGUUAUAUAUGAAUUAAACAACCACUUGAUCGAAGAUUCAAUAAUUGAAACACUGCAAUUUUAUUUAGGAAUAAGUACAUUUUUCGUUCCUUAAUUCUUUUGAAAGUAUAGAGAUGGUCCCACAACUCCAAAACCAGUAAAAUUUAGCCUCUCAACUUUCAAAACCGGAUAAAGUUAGUUCCUGCCUCGGUCAAACCUGGUUUAUCUAUGACGUGGCAUGGCAAAGCGGUAUUGAACAGUCCAUGUAAAGCACAGCCGGCAACACUGGAGACAGGUACGACACGGGGUGAGGCGCCCCGUGCUUUUCCUGCUGGCUGCACCCUCCUUGGCGCUCCAUCCAGUGGCGGAGGAGACGGGCGAUUUGUUGCAUGACGGCGACGGCGGCGCUCCAGCAUGUGGUGAGACGGAGGCGAGUUGUCGCACGUCGACAAUUUCCAGCGCAGGCACGACAAUGGAGGUCAUGGGCGCAUCUAUGGCAGCAGCCCCGUGGAGGAUCCUCGCUUCCUCGGCCCCGCGGAGGCCUGAGGUGCAGAGGCCGUUGCAUGGCGCUGGUCUACUCGGCAACAACGGCCGUGUGCUGUAGAUGGGCUUGUAUCCUGAACCUCAUAUCCACCCACAAGCAUGACCCCCGCCCCUCCACGUUCGUGCAAUCAUGCCUGGGCUGCUAUCAGGAGCAUCUUCAACAUCUGGAGCUUGUACCAAUGUACCAUGCAUGUACUCGUCAAAAAAAAAAAAUGUACCAUGCAUGCGCGGCCUCAUGUACACGUCGCUGAGGUGGCCGGGGAGGUGUGGUGCGGCGAGGCGCGCAGGGCAGCCCAAAAUGGGGCGUGACUUGUCAGUCGUUGGUGAUAAUCGGUCGUGGCAAGCUGCAGCAAGCACGACUGUGUACAUGCAGACAUUGCAUGCUAUGUGCUCGAUGAAAUGUACACACUUUAGAUAGAUGAAAGGAAAGAGAAAUAUUGCCACAUGGACCAAAGACCGGUCAAACAUGUAUGACGUGUUUGGUUUUAGGCAAAAUCGUGUCCAUGUCGGUAGGAAACCACUUGAAAACGGUAUGAGGGAUUAAACUUAUCCGGUUUUAAAAGUUCAGGGACUAAGCUUUGCUGGUUUUGAAGUCGAGAGACCAUUUUUGUACUUCUAAAAAAAUUGAGGGAGGGGAAAUAUUUUUUCCCUUUUAUUUAUAUGGACAUAUACUAAAGACAAUUUAGGCAUGGAAGAGAAAAGCAUCACCUCCAAUCAUUAACAUUGCAUUAUUCCGACGUAGAAUUGGCACUGACUCCUCUAGAUGAACAGCGAUUCCAAUGUACCUCUUACAGGAAUAGCAAGUCCAGUGUCAACGGCAAUAUACAAUAGUAAGAAGCAUCUGAAAUCUCGAGGUCCAUAGCAAUUAGAGUCCUUCUUAAGAACUUUUCCUGCUUCGAUAACCACAUAUGAGCUGGCCAGAGAAGCGUGAACAAUGAAUGCAUUACUGGUCACAUCUCUCUCUCUCUCUCUCUCUCUCUCUCUCUCAAAUAGAGCACUACAUUCCACACCAAUUAAUCAGUGAUUGCAUCAUAACACAGUGGAUUAUCUUGAUCAACUCCUAACAGGAUUCAAGUCAGCAUUGGAAUCUGCAGGAGGACCGUGGAUCAGCAAUCUGAGGAAGGAAAUAGUCGUGACAAAAAUAAUAAAGAUGCUGUAAUCACUUGAUAUAUAAGCAUGCCCAUUACAUAAUAGUGUAAAAUAACUGAUUAAUUAGAACAAUACGAACAGAACUGAAAAUAUCCUGUUAAAUUAGGAAAUCAGAAACAUUGUUCAGCUUACUAAAAAUCAAGCUUCAUUUAACAACAUGAGAGCUCAAACUAAGUUCAGAUGGCUUCUGUUCAAGAAAACGUUCAGCACUGUAGUGCUAUUGCUCUAUGCUAAAAUACAAUUCCCAAGCAAGAGGGAAUUCACACAACUUUGAUGAUUCAAGAUGCUGCCGCUGAAGCCAUUCUUGUCCCGUACUACAAAACAAAGAUCAAAGCAAUUCAUCGCCAUAACAAAAGAGGUGCAAUGUGUAAUUAUGCUACCAAUAAUAGUUCAAACUGUCACCAGAUCAUGAGCAUAGGGUGUAACACAAUUUAGGCAGUGUUAAACCCCGAUUUUCUCAUGGCUUGUGAGAAAUUCAAACAAUAGCCAUCGGCCAUUGCCAUGGAGUCUGAUAUCUCCUACCCUGAAAAAUCUCAUACUAGCAGCUCCAGGUGCGAAAGUGCCUUUCUGUUCCCGAGCUCAUUUGAGCUCGGUGAACAGUAAAAUAAAAAAAAAUUCAAAAAAUUCCAAUUUUUUUUGGGAGAAACAUUUACAAAAGUUCUAAGUGCUUGCAAAAAUUCAUCAUGAAAUCACAUUCCUGUAAAGCGUGGCAAAAAAAACAAAUUCAAUGCUCCAAAAUGCUUUUGAAAGUAGCUUUUUCAGAGUACUGAUUUUGUUUUUUUUUGCCACGCCUUUUAGAAAUAUGAUUUCAUGGCGAAUUUUUGCAAGCACUUAGAACUUUUGUCAAUGUUUCUUCCAAAAAAAUUGGAUUUUUUUAAAUUUUUUUAUUUAGUUUUGAUUUUACUGUUCACCCGAGCUCAUUUGAGCUCGGGUGCAGAAACUCAGGUGAUGAUUCAACACUUAUAUUUAAGAAAUAUUCCUAAGCCAACGCAAAUCAAGAUGAUCGGGCAUCGACAGUGUCGCCGUCUCCGAGGCGUUGCAGGUGUGGUUGGUAAUGAGGCCCACUAUCGCGUCCCCUCGCCGGGCCUCCGGACAAUGGCGAUGAGGAUCUGGCGGGAUGAGAUUCACGCAGCAGCGAGGAAGAUCUAGUGGGAUUUCGGUCGCCUGUAUGCGGACAGCCGAACCGCGGAUCCGGUGGAGGUCGCCCGAUUCCCAGCGUCAGAUCAUCUCCCCACUGCCCUGAGGUCGUCCACAAGCGGCCACCUCUGCCCUGAGAUUCAUCCAUGAUUCCAUGGGACAGAAUCACUGUCGCACGCGUGGUGCUCGACGCCUUGACAACACCGUGUAGGAGGUCAUGACAAAGUGCAGAGGUGCCUCCCGUGUGGCGGCGGUCUCGGAGAUGGCGGCGCCAAGGUUCGAGAGGAGGGAAUGGCAAUUUGGGGGCGGUAGGGGGUCUUGGUCCAGAGGCUGAUAGUCGUUGGCUAUGAGGAGAGGACGGCGGCGUGUGGGCGUCGAGGAGGUGCAGGCGACGGCAAGACCCUUAUGUCAUCGGGAUCGAGGUCCAGGGCGUGUGUUGGGUUAACGUGCCGGCCAAAGUUGGCUGCUGUGAAAGGUGGGCGUGGAAUACAGUCAGGCGAAAUAUAGGAGCGGUGGGAGGAGGAUGGGAUGUGAGGCGAAAAUACCAACUCCAUAGGAGUAGAGAGAUAUUAUAAUGUCAUGUCAUAAUAUUAUAUCCUUCUUUCCUUAUUUAGCUGUAUGUCAUCCCAUCUAAAUUGUCUAGUCGGCAUGCAUGAUACUUCAUAUGAUACUCCAACUAUGGAAGGUCUAAAGCAUUAAGACCCAAUAUAUUGGGAGUGCCCAUAUGAGAUAAACCCUCGUAUGUACCAAGAAACAUUUGCUUCCAACAAACCAGUAACCAUGGGUAACUUUUGCCUUAAAAACAUACGACAUACGUUACGCAUCCAUGAUAUAUAUUCAACAUCCCACGCUAGGGUCCCUCACAUUAAAUCUCCCUAUAGUACGCCAAGUAUAUUGGUGUUUAUGUGCGUGUAUCCUCAAUGAAAAUGUCAAUGGCAUGCAUUACCAGUCCAUACUUAAUGGCAAGAUAUAGAGAGCAUAUGUUAUCGGUGCCAAAACAUCGUGCCCGUCAUUAUAAUCGCUAGUUUUCAUAUAAUUUACGGUCCACAAGGGUGUUUGCUUAUCAUCUAUUGCUAAGUUUGCAAUAGCACGUACCUGUGUGUUCACAAGACUAUUGGCUUAGCUUCUUGUUUCUUAAUUUGUAGAAGCUUGAGCUCGUAGAGUUACGUGGAAUCUUCUCGCCCAGCAUUGCGAAUUUGACAACACAAUAAUGCCUGCAAGAUCAAGCAUUAAUUAGUUAUGAAAUCUAUGAUUUGUUCCUCAUGAAAAUGGUGUACAGAUAGAUCUCCAAUAAAAAUGGUUUUGUUAUCGUUAUUGUCACAUAUCUUCAUUUCAGGUUUUUAGAUGAUAACAAUAUAAUUGAAGGAAUACCAUAGGAGAUUGGGAAUCUUUCAAGUCUGACAAAUCUUAAACUUGAAAAUAAUCAAUUCAGUGGCUCAAUAUCCGAUUCUCUUGGCCGCUUUUCAGAACUGCAAAAUCUAUAAGGCAGACUAUGACUUGUGUUAUCUCUUAGAAUUACGGUACACUAACAAACAUAAGGGUGUGGUAACUUCAAUAGGGAUCUGAGCCAAAAUCUUCUAAGUGGAAAUAUUCUAAUCUCUUUGUCAAAUAUUACAUUUUUGAAUUCCAUGUAAGUUUUCCUUUCCAUGCUGAUAUAAGCAGAAAACUGACUAAAUGUUAUUGUUGUCAUUGCAACCCUUGUAUUCAUUUUAAUAAGCGAAUAAGACCAUUUGAACUCAAUUAUGUGAUGAUCUAUGGUUUGUGUUUUGUAACAAUCUGGCAUAAAACAAUCUUAGUGGUAAAAUACCUGAACAACUACAUGUGUCCCUAUAAAAGUAUGGCCUACCUGAACUUUAAUUAUCUCUCCAAUCCGAAUUAGUUGAGACAACCUCUAUACAAUUUCUAUAUUACACUGAAUAAGGAAUUUUAUGCACUCCUGCAAUUAACAUAAUGAGUGUAAUCAUGUGGUUCUAGGCUUCUAGCUAUACCGUCAACCACUUAAAUUGUGGUUCACACUUAAUGUCAUGCAAAGGAAACAUCAACAAUACAAGUAAUCCAGAAACCUACACGACAAUCGAUAUGGAACCCAACAUUCGGAUUGAAAAACACAUGUUUGCAUUUCAUACUAAACAUUUAUUAAUAGGUGGAUCAAGAAAAUCCACCAUAAAGGUGGUUCUCAGAAGCAUUGGUGGAGCAAUAGUUCUCCGUGUUGCUAUGUGUUUUCUAAUCUUGCGAAGAAUGCCUUGCUGGAGUGAUUUGUUUUUGAUGUUCCGGGUUAGUUAGCAUUAGGGGUAAAAUUAUUUUUGUUCAUGCAUGUUUACUGUAUUGAAAUUUUCACCACGAAAAUAAUUUCCCAUCUAUUUUAGUGGAAUUCCACAAAGAAAGGCUUUUUUCAACUAAGGACAUGAUAAACAUGUAAAUUAAAUUUAAGAUGAGCAUGCUCUAAGCCAGAUCUUGGGUCGGCACAAUAAUUCUUGUUGCACCAUCUCAUGAUUGCAAAAAUAAAUUUGAGUUAAAAAAUCUUGGAAAGGGCUCUUUCACUAAGGUUUACAAAGGAGUUCUUCCAGGCCGAGACAAUAAAGUGGUUGUCGUCAAACGAUUGGCUAAAGUAGAGAAUCAUGGACAUGAUAUGGCUUUCAAAUGAGAGGCUGAAGUUAUAAGUGUGACUAUCCACAAGAACUUACUAAAAUUGAUUGAGUAUUGCAUGGCACCAAGGGAUCACUUCUUGAUUUAUCCUUUCAUGGAGAAUUUGAGACUUUCUUCUAGUUUAGAUAAUCACAUAGAUAUGCAGGUUUAAAACCAAAUAAACCAACAUUUGAUUGAACAAGAAGAAUGAAAAUUGCUCUUGGCAUUGCCCGUGGUUUGGAAUACCUUCAUGAUAACUGCAACCCCUCGAUUAUCCAUGGUGAUAUUAAGGCUACCAAUGUCCUACUUGAUGGAAAUUUUGAAGUUGUGUUUGGAGACUUUGGACUGCCAAAGUUAAUGGACCAAGGGAAGGAAAUAAUGAUGAUAGAGAUCCCGGGAACAUUGGGCUACAUGGCUCUAGAGUACAGGAAAGACAUCAACAAAAAUCGACAUAUAUGGAUAUGGUGUCUUGAUAUUAGAGAUUGUGACGGGAAAGGGUUCAGACUUCCAUGUUAAUCUAAGCUUCUCUAUCCUAUUUUUAUUUACAAGUACUAGUGUAAACAUGAGGAAAAUGAUAUUAAUUUAGUUUGUGAAAUCGGAGUAGUAGAAGCGAUUUCAUGCUGAGUUUUUCCACACAGGCUAGUUAUAUAAUAUUACAGUUCAUCAAUUAUUACAGAUGUAGUUCAAGCAAAUUUUUCCAAGAAAACAAUUAUUAAAUACUUUACGAUAUGACCAAAACAACAAAACAGGAGCCAAAAGUAAGAAAGAAUUGAUUUACAUGAUUUAGCUUGCACAAUUUUAAUUGAUUUCAGUAUGAUAACAAUUAUUAAUUUGUAUGAUAAAUCUAAAAAACUAAAUCCAUUUUUUAAUUAUUUUGUGUGAACAUACAAAUUUGAAAAUAAGUGGUAAAAAAUCUGUAUUGGGGAUCAUGACAGUCUAGCAAACUAUGUGUAUUCACCAAUGUACAGAGUAAAAAUAGAACAUAUCUAACAAUUUAUCUUAUGAGCAAAAACUAAGAAUUUGUUUCAGCAACAUGGUGUGUAGUAUCUAGGCCACAUGUGACUAAAUUUAACAAUGACUGUAUCAUUUUAAAAGAGUUUUCUUUAGCCUCUACAAAUUUCAAAAUAUCUCACUUAUUUUUCUGGGUGACCAUUUCCACAAAGAGAGCACUACUUCACAUGUUCUCUAAGGUGCCUAAGUAGAUAAUACUAUCAUUCUAACAAAUAAAGUGUUAGAACUCGAGGAUGACAUAGCCUCCGUCCCCGGUCUCAGGUUGUAUGGGUGCUCGACCGGAGAUCGUGUGGCGUCCCGGAGUUAGGGAUUGAUAACAACAACAAUCAGACUGUGACUCAGAUUACUUUGGGUUUAAUUCAUUACUUGAUUUUUGAAGUAACAAUCUCUAUGAAUAUAUAACCAUAGUUUACAAUGACUUGAAAGGUAAGAAACUCUUAAAAGCAUUCCUAAUAGACUUGGACUCUUAACAUACUUAGAUAAAAGUCGGAGUGACCUUAUACGGGACUAAAGCCCUAUCAUACCAAAAGCCCUAAACUCUCAACAGAAAGAAACCUCUCAAGUGCUAAUCCCUAAUCUCAUGUGUCCGUGUCGACAUUUUUUCCAGUUUUAUCAGACAAAUUAAUAAUUAUUAUCCUACUGAAAUCAAUUAAAAUUGUGUGAACUAAAUCAUGUGAAUUAAUUCUUUCUUACUUUUGGCUCAUGGUUUGUCAUUUUAGUCGGAUCACAAAGUAUUUAAUACAUUGUUUUCUUGGAAAACUUCAACUCGAACUACAUCUGUAGUUGUUGAUGAGCGUUAAUAUUAUAUAACUAGCCCGUGCAAAAACUCAGCAUAAAAUUGCUUCUACAACUCCAAUUUCAUGAGCUAAAUUAAUAUCAUUUUUCUUGUUUUCACAAGUACUUGUAAAUAAAAGUAGGAUAGAGAAUCUUACAUUACCAUGGAAGCCUGGACCCUUUCCCGUCACAAUUUCUAACACCAAGACACUAUAUCCAUUUAUGUCGGUUUUCGUUGAUGUCUUUCCUGUACUCUAGAGCCAUGUAGCCCAAUGUUCCCUGGAUCUCUCUAUCGUCAUUAUUUCCUUCCCUUGGUCCAUUAACUUUGGCAGUCCAAAGUAUCCUAGCACAACUUCAAAAUUUCCAUCGAGCGGGACAUUGACAACCUUGAUAUUACCGUGGAUAAUCAGGGAGUUACAGUUAUCAUGAAGGUAUCCCAAACCAAGGGCAGUGCCAAGAGCAAUUUUCAUUAUUCUUUCCAAUCCAAUGUUGGUUCAUUUAGUUUUAUACCCUCAUAUUUAUGUGAUUUCAUUAGUUUCAUUGAUGAUAGUUCGAAGCAAACUAUAAUGAUAUAAUAUUAUCCAAGAGUGACUUUCUUGUUAUUAUUUUGUGUCUCAUACAAGUAGAGAUAAUUCAAUUAUCUUUACUUUUGACGAUGUCAGAGAUUUAUAUUUCAUCAUCCACAAAAAUAAGACAUUGUGUCUGCCAAGACUAAUAGACUGAAUAGUUCAACUGAGCAAAAGUCAUCAACAAGAUAUGAGCAUAGAAAAAUAUAUAAGAAAAGAAUCUACAAUGUGAUAUUACUUUCUAAACCAAGAAGCACUCCCUUGUGCCAUGCAAUACCCUAUCAAUUUUAGUAAGUUCCCAUGGACAGCCACACUUAUAACUUUAGCUUCUUAUUUGAAAGCCCUGUCAUGUCUAUAAUUUUCUACUUUAACCAUUUGUUUGAUGGCAACCGCCUUAUUGUCUCGGCCUGGAAGAACUCCUUUGUAAACCUCAGUUAAAGAGCCCUUGCCAAGAAAAUUUUCUUUACUCAAAUUUCUUGCUGCAAUCAUGAGAUGAUGCAAUGAGAAUUAUUGUGCCGGCCCAAGAUCUAGGUUGAGACAAUGCUCAUGUUGAAUUUAAUUUACAUGUUUAUCAUGUCCUUAGUUGAUAAAAAAGCCUUUCUUUGUAGAAUUCCACUAUAAUAGAUGAAAAAAUAUUUUCAUGGUGAAAAUUUCAAUAUGGUAAACAUGCAUUAACAAAAAUACUUUACCCCUAAUCCUAACUAACUUGGAACAUAAAAAAUAAAUCACAUCGGCAAGGCAUGCUUCGCAAGAUUAGAGCAAACAUAGCAACAACAACUAUUGCUCCACCAAUGCUUCCGAGAACCACCUUUAUGGUGGAUUUUCUUGAUCUGCCUAUUAAUAAAUGUUAAGUAUGAAAUGCAAGCAUGUGUUUUUCAAUCCGAAUGUUGGGUUCCAUAUAGAUUGUCAUGUAGGUUUCUGGAUUACUUGUAUUGUUGAUGUUUCCUUUGCAUGACAUUAAGUGUAAACCACAAUUUAAGUGGUUAUUUUCUUAUUAAAAUAAAUACAAGGCUUGCAAUGACAACAAUAACAUUCAGUCAUUUUUCUUAUUCUAUAAGCAUGGAAUUCAAUGAUGGAAUAUAUUUGACAAAGAGAUUGGAAUAUUUCCACUUAGAGGAUUUUGGCCGAGAACCCUAUUGAAGUUACCACACCCUUAUGUUUAUUAGUUAAUUGUAAUACUAAGAGAUAAAGCAAGUCAUGGUCUGACUUACAAAUUUUGCAGUUUCGAAAUGUGCUCAAGAAAAUCGGAUAUUGAGCCAUUGAAUUGAUUAUUUUCAAGUUUAAGAGUUGUCAAACUUAAAAGAUUCCCAAUCUCCUGUGUUAUUUCUCCAGUUGUAUUAUUAUCAUCUAAAAACCUGAACCGAAGAUAUAUGACAAUAACGAUAGUAAAACCAUUUUUAAUGAAUAUCUAUCAAUAUACCAUUUUCAUGAGGGAAAAAUCAUAUAUUCCAUAAGUAAUUGAUUCUUGAUCUUACAGUCAUUGUAGUGUUGUCAACUUCGCAAUGUUGGGCGACAAGAUUCCACUUAACCCCGACGAGCUCAAGCUUCUACAAAUUCAGAAAUGAGAAGCUAAGCCAAUAGUCUUGUGAACACAUGUACAUGCUAUUACAAACAUAGUAAUAGAUGAUAAGAAAACACCCUUGUGACCAAAAAAAUAUGAAACUAGCGAUUAUAAUGACGAGCAUGAUGUUUUGCACCGAUAACAAAUGCUCCUUAUAUUUUUACCAUUAUGUCUGGACUGGGAAUGGAUGCCAUACACAAUUUCGUUGAGGAUACACACACAUGAACACCAAUAUACCCGGCGUACUAUAGGGAGAUUUAAUGCAGGGAGGCCCUGCUGGCGUGGGAUGUUGAAUAUCAUGGACGUGUAAUGUGUGCCGUAUGUUUUUAAGGCAAACGUUACCCAUCGUUAAUGGUUUGCUGGAAGCAAAUGUUUCGGGGUACAGGCCGUUGAGGGUGUGUCCCAUAAGGGCACUCCCAAUGUAUUGGGUCUUAACGCUUUAGAUUUCCCAUAGUUGGAGUAUCAUAUGAAGUAUCAUGCAUGUACACUAGGCAAUUUAGAUGAGGUGUCAUACAAUUAAAUGAAGGAAGAAAUGAUUCGAUAUCAUGAUAUGAUACCAUAGUAUAAUAAAUGGCGUGUUAAUAUGUGUCGUACAAAACAGUAAAUGAGGUUAUCUAUGAUACUAUGCACACUACGCGCAACCUUGUGGGUAGUAGAUUUGCUUUAGAGACAAACACCACAAUGCAUUAUAUCUUAGAUAUUGUAUCUAAAUGAUAUUGCAUUUAAUUAAUUCAGGGGUUAUAUUUUUAUCUCAAUCUUGUGGCGUAAUUCGGAAGAGAAGGUAAGGAGUGAAAAAUACGGAGAUAUGUCACACAAAAGUAUAUUACACUGCAUAGGAAAACCAGCCAAGAGCCAUAUCUCCACUAUCAUACAACUCCCCUCUCUCUCUUUUCUUUAAAUACAAUGCCACCUUGGCAUUUUGCCAAUGAUACCAUGCUACUGUGAGAGCCAAGCAUUAGGAGUACCCUCAAUGAUUCCAGCUUCUUAGACCGUGGUGGUAGAAAAAGUGAGUUGAGAAUCCAAGAGAAAGAGCAGGAUUCGUUGACUGGAAGAUGAAAAUGCAUGUCUGAGGAGCGUUGGGCCUUAGGGACCAGAGGAUGACAAAUGCACCAGAGAUUUUUAAAAAAUAUUUUUCAGUUGGAUUUUUGAAAGUUAAUUAACUAAUAAAUCAGUGCAAAUUACACGCUUCACAUCAACCUAGAAUUCAUCACGCAUGAUUAUUGGAUAUGAGUAUGACUAACAGGGACAACCUUUUUAAUUUUGUUAUUAAAAAACAAAACAAGCACGAGCCCUUUCCGAGAAAAAAAAUACAGGCACAAACUCUAUCAACAAAAAGACAAAAAACUAUAAAACACAAACUAGGCUUACAAGGCUCACUGGAUUUUGUGGACAAACUAGGCAAAGUAUGAUUGAAAUUUGAACAUGAACAUAAAAGUAGAAAAGCUCAGACCAGUUGAAACGAACAACUUCGUUUGGCCAAAACAUAUACUACGUCUGUCAAUCAGGUAUUGAUGUUGUCACCUCGCCGAGCAACUAAAUUAACUGACACUACAAGGGAGGAUGUUGAGAUCCUCUGUGUAUCAAGGAAAAGUUGGUAUCAGACACAAAGGGUAUACUUUACUCAAAAUGUGCGAGAUUAUUUCCUCUGUUCAAAGGAUAGAAUGUAAACAUACUGUAACUGCCUUUGGCAGGGACUGGUUUAGUGCAGUUACACAAGAGAUGAUUAGGUUAGGCUUCACUUACAUUUCGACCACGUUGCCGUCAGGAUCACACAUGACAAUAGCAAUAGUACUACAUGCAGUAUCUAGAUGGCGAUUCCAGUCUUCUAGGACACCACGACUGUCAUUAAGCAGCAUCUUCACCUCAAACAGAGCCUGGACUGGAGAAAGGCAAGUUUUAUUAGUAAAUAAAAGGUAAAUACUCAAUCAAAGAGAACUAUUAAGUUUGGUGAAUAGUUCUGGCGAACAUCUAUUGCAUGUUUAAUAUGGACCGUAACUGAUGUAGAGCUUGCAAAAAGAUAUAAUACAAUCGUAAAACAUAUAACACGAAAAGGUCAGGUCAGGCAAUAAACUGAUUAAGAACCAUAAAAAAACUGAUUAAGAUUUAUUCUCUGCCCUCAGGAUAACCAAGGGAAGCUCAUGCUUAAGCUUGUUCUACCACUCAGAAGCUCAUGCUUAAGUGUCUGCAUUUUUAAAGACUAUCCCAUUGCGCGAAGCGAAUGUGCACCAGGGCACUAGAAUGAAAAUGCUGUGAUUUCACACCAAAAAAAGGAUAUGCAUUCAUCUCUUCUUAUGGUUGUUUUCUCGACAUUGCUAAUUCACACAAUUGACAACGACACGUGCGGGGAUCCAAAAUCCAGUUAAGUGUUUAUAUUUUCGAAAGAGUCUAUUCUGCAGCCCCUUGAAAAGAAAAGUCUAUUCUACAUCACUUUUUUUUGCGUCACUACUAAUGUGUGACAUCUUCUGGUCAAAAUUCUCAAACUGAAUAUGCAGUUCACUUGUCCAGUUACUUUAUGUGCUGAAGGUCAAAAAACCCAGUGUAAAGUUCUUACCCUCUUGAUCAAACAUCUGAUAUGCAACAGACUGUAAGAACCCCAGGAAGAUUAAUUCAUAAGCUAGCUUCAUGGUUUCCGAAAGCUGAUAUCAGCUUUUUCUGGAUAGAAGAACAAAGGAUCGUUGCUGAUUAUAAUCUUAACUCUGUUUGCUUCACAGAACAGAGGAAUGUGUCAGUGCCAGUCUGCUAAAUACCUGCAUUAUUGUGGAUCAAAAUAAAGGGCAUACGAAACACAGCAGAUGAUGACAUCAACUGAGAACAGUACUCCCCCCUUCAACAAUGUAGUGCAUAUUUUGUUUUUUCAAAGUCAAAUGUUUCUAUGUUUGACCAAGUUUUUAGCAUAUUAAUAUCUAAAGUACUGAAUAAAUAAAAUAUAAAGUACACUUCAUAAUGAAUUUAAUGAUACUAAUUUGUAUUGUCGAUGUUGAUAAUUUUUUCUUGGCUUUUAGAAAACAAAAUAUGCACUGUAUUUUUAGAAUGGAGGGAGUAUGAUAAAUACUAUAACCGGAAAGCAAGUACUCCGUAAAUCAGAGCAGAUGGUCGAUGGCUUAAAUUUAUAUUAUAAUGUAGCGACUACGUGCCAACUAGUUAUUUUUUGGGGUCCUCGGAAGCAUGGUGGGUGCUUUGCGGUGCGUGUGAGGUGUUUGGCGGCGGCAUUGUGUGCAGCGUUUCACCUAUUCUCCGCCGGUCUUCGUCCUGUGGUAGUGCUCCUUCUGCUUGGAGAUGGACUAGCGUAGAUGGUGGUCGUCGUUUGGUGCCUUGAUGGCGUCGAUGGCGGAGGAUCCUACCAAGGUUGGCACCUCAAUCUGCUCUGAAGAUGGACUAGUGGAAGAUGGCGGCGACGACACAUGUGAGUGCGUCAGACCGGAUUGUGCCCCGAACCCGGUAUGUGGCUCGGUCGGGGCCUCCGGCUUUAGAUGUUAGGCUUAGGUGAGAGGUCUGGGUAUUUGGUCCAGCUUGCACCCCCUUCAUCAUAUGGAUAGGAGUAGUGGCAGAUGUUGCCAAGAUGGCGGAUUCAGGCAUAUUGUUGUACUACUUUGUAAGGUCCUCGAGAAUAAUCAAUAAAAUGGCCGUAUGCAUCUCCCAGAUGCAGAGGCCGGGGGUCAUCCUCCUUUUCUAAAAAAAAAAAAGUUAUUUUUUGGGAAAUUAAAAGAAGAAACUAGAAUGGUAUAUAAAAACGCAACAUGGGAGAGGUCAAAACCCGGAUCAAAAAAGAAAGAAAGGUCAAAGCCCCACCACCAUGUCUCACACACUACUAAUGCUGCCUUUCUUCCUUCUCCAAACCUAGUGGAGCCAUAGAGACCAAGAACAACCGUAAAAAAAGUCAAAAACAGGCGAUGAAAAUCUGUCUCCCCCUGCAUCCAUCCACAAAAAAUCUUAUGUCUCUAUGAAGUAUUGGGAGCUUACAUGCGUGGAGGAUGUCCUGCUGCUCAACCUCGGCUCUGUUUGAAGUGAAGAUGAUGCUUAAUGACAGUCGUGGUGUCUUAGAAGAGCCAGGCGACUAUGUCUACGCUGGCCAUUAAGCAUCGUCUUUGCCUAGGACACCACGACUGUCAUUAAGCAUCGCCUUCACCCCAAACAGAGCCCAGAAUGGAUCCGGUAGCCAGGCGACUAUGUCUACGCUGCGAUGUGGUACCCUUGCUUGAUGUCUACGCUGCAGCUAGUUUCUGAAGUUGGGUUCCUUUUGAUUCAGGUUACCAGUUCUUCAUGGACGAGGAUGCGGAUCGAGUGGCAGAGCCGGCCUCGAUGUGGUGCUCACAAUCGCCGGUUCGCGCCCCGGUUGGAUUCUCGCCGGCCGCGCUCACCGGCGAACCUAGGGGAUUUAUCUGUUGUUGCCGUGUGGAGAGGAGUGAGAGAGUGAGCGGCGUGGGUGGGUGAGAUGUGUUCUCUAUUCUUGCACACUAGGUGCUCCUUUUAUACUAGUCUCUCCCGUCCGCGAGGGGCA
This 14905-nucleotide long non-coding RNA is filed under the name Triticum aestivum (bread wheat). RNAcentral's name for it is "long non-coding RNA (TAES_LNC005813)". The record is from RNAcentral. Lineage: Eukaryota; Viridiplantae; Streptophyta; Magnoliopsida; Poales; Poaceae.